RNAcentral lists this long non-coding RNA (465 nucleotides) under Rattus norvegicus (Norway rat). RNAcentral's name for it is "long non-coding RNA NONRATT024845". The record is from RNAcentral. Lineage: Eukaryota; Metazoa; Chordata; Mammalia; Rodentia; Muridae.
CUGGCAUCGGUACAUGCAGCGUGAGGACUUUGCAGUCACUGUCCAGCCUUUCUUCCGGAAUACCUUUGUCCCACUGGAUGAGCGUGGGGGCCUCGACCUCACUUUCUUCUCUGAAGACUGUUUCCACUUCUCAGUCCGUGGGCAUGCUGAGAUGGCCAUUGCCCUCUGGAACAACAUGUUUCAGGCCUAGGGUGUCUGUGCCAAUCACCGUUGGGCAAAUAUUCCCACACCUGUCAGCAACCCCAUGCUGCCUGACGCUUUCCUCAGCUGACUCGAGACAAUGACUUUCUUCUUAGCUACAUCGCCACCCCCUCUGUAGCAUCCAAAGUGACAUAUACGCCUGUUCACCUGCAGGCUCAGCUCCCCUCCCAAUGACGUCACCCAUCUGCACAGCAUUAAAACUUCAUCAUAUUCUUCCUGCACAGGAUUCUAAACUGACAUCAAAAUAUCUUUGAGUUUCCCUCC